This 2591-nucleotide non-coding RNA is filed under the name Cryptosporidium parvum. The record is from RNAcentral. Lineage: Eukaryota; Apicomplexa; Conoidasida; Eucoccidiorida; Cryptosporidiidae.
CAAUAAUAUAUAGAAACAAAUUAUAAAAUAACAACUAAUGAUAGAGAAUAUAUAUUUAAAUUAUAAGGAAAGGUUUGUUGGAGGUAAAGUAUGUAAGAAUAGAAUUGUAAUUUAACAAUUCAUCAAGGAGUCUUUACUUUAAUUGAAUUACGGAGUUUAAUCAAGCAGUUCAAUGCGUGGCUGUUUUCAUCAUUCUCAAUAAUUCUGCAAAUGACUGCUGCAGCAUCUAUAAAUUCUAGAAGAAAAUUGGAAUCUUCAAAAAACUCAAAAUCCUUAUUUUCCCAAAGCAAACUUACUCUCUGAAUAAUGCACAAAAGAGUAUCUGAAUUGAAUUGGUGUUUGAAAUAUGAAGAUAGCUUGCUUAACUUUUUUUCAAAGAGUUCAAAGAAUAAGUCAUCCCAGUGUAAAAUUAAAAAGCUUAUGGUUCCUUGAAAAUCAAGAAUACCUUGCUUAUCUCUCUCUUCAAAGUUAUUAACUCCUUUGAUAUUUCUAAUCUUUGAAUAUUUCCAUAUAUGGUCAUUAUCAACAAGACCUUGAAGAACUGUGGAAGCAUUCGAAAAUCUUGAGGAGUUUGAAAUAUUUGAGGACAUUCCACCUUUGGAUAUAGUUGAAGAUUUCAAAUAUUUAACCAAAUAUGGUGCAAGUAUCUGAGCGAGUAGUUGCUGAACAGUUAAAGCAAUUUCAAAAUUAGAUUGGUCUUCUUCAUUCACUUCGGCCUCAUCUUCCAGAAAGAAGCAGUUCAUCUGACAGCUGGACAAUUUUCUUGAAUAAGUGCUCUUUCCUAUCGAUUCUCGUCUAUCAUCAUCAUCAUCAUCAUAAAAGUAAAUUCUAUCUUUUGACCUGUUUCUUCUGCAAAUUCGAGAAUAUAUGGAAUUCAAUAUUGAAUUCCAAUCAUUCAUUCCUCCAGCACUACUUGAUGCCAGAAUUGGUUUCUCAUCUGGACCCCAAAUUUUCCUAAAUAUUUCACAUCCAAUUGACCAUUCAAUAAAAAGAGAAAUUGAAUCUAUGUUCCCACAAUACUUUUGAUGCAUAUUUAUGUUGCUGCUUGCAAGAAGAGAAGAAAACAAUACUCUUGGACUAUCUAAAGCUAUCCUAUUAUAAAGAAAUAUGUUUCCUUCUUUGCAAUUUAUUACUCUUUCUGGUUUAACGUAUUCAAUAAAGUAAGGCAAAAUAUCUCUGGUCAAGUCCCCGUCCGUAAACUCCUCAUCUUUUCCAAUAACAUUGUAUAAAUCAGAAUCAUGGUUAUUGUAUAUUUUUGAACCAAUAUUUUUUUCAUCAUUCUGUACUGUGGAGUUCCUUUCCAGAUUCAAACCACUUUUCCCUGUCAAAGUAUCAUUCUUGCCAAAAAUUUGGUCCAAAAUAUUCUCAUUCAAGUUCAGCUUUUCCUCGCCAGUGCUGUUUUCAGAAAUUAUACUCAAAAAAUUCUCUGAGAAAAUGGCCUUAACUGACAUUAAACGUAUCUUUGGAGGUUUUGAUUCAUCUAUUAUAUGAAAUAAUAUAUUCCCGUCGUUAAAAUUCUCAUAGUGGGAUGAUAUUGAUAAAUUAUGAAGAUCAUGAAAACCUUUACACGAGAGACUUGGGGUAAAUCCAGCAGGGAAAUCCCAUCCAAACAAAACCUUACCAGCAUAUCCAGAAACUCUAUAAACAAUACUUGCCUUGAAAUCUGCCGAAAAAAGAGAUUCACAGCUCGCACCAAACUCUACUAUGCUAUUUGCAUAAAUCUUUUCUGGAGGAAAUUCUAUCCACUGUCCUCCCGAAACUAAGUUCUCCAUAGAAUAGGGAGAAUAUGGGCCUCUUGUUAUCAAAUUUUCAUUAUGACUUUCUAUAUGCAUGCUGGGAGUAACUGCUGAUGAAAUGGUCGAAUUUCCCAAACUCCUAUUCUUGAACUUUUCGCUAUCGCUCUUACUUGCUGCAGGGAGCUGUAAAGUUAAAUCAAAAUCUGUCAAGUUCACAAUUCUAAUGUAAAGAGACCGAGGAAAUGUUCUUAGUCUCUUUACCCACUCGUAAUAAUUCGAAUUCAACCUCUUAUUCAAAUCAAAGUUAUAUUGAUUGGAAUGCUUUUCUCUAUAAUCCUUUGAGUCUAGUCUAUCCAAUAACUUGUUACCAAAUUCAGUCUCUCUAAUAUUAAUAUGAGUCAUUAACCUCUUACAAGAUCGCUGCAAUCCGUUCGUAUUAUCCAAGUAAAAGAUCUCACUCCUGUUUCCAUCAGCCUUGCUUGUAAAUCCUACAAACUUGUCAUCUCCUUCAAUAACCCCAGUCCAAGCAUUAGCCUCACAAUCUCCUAUUAUACGGGAUUCAUACUUAUAAAUAAAGAAAUACUCCAACCCGUUCACUAUAACAGAAUAUACAACGUUGCACCCAAAAAUACUUUGAUAGGUUGCACUUGAACACACAAAUGACGUCAUCAUUCCUGAGCUAAUCCUUUCUACUGGAUGGUAAAUCCAUUCUCCUUUAUCAAGUAUUUGUAUAUACCUGAAAAAAGUUAGUCGAGUAUUAUUCUUUAUUACUACCUCCAGUUGCUCCAUCUUCACAAAGAAUUCUUUUUAUCCUUCUCUUAAAUGUACCUAUUUCAGUAUUCAGUUCUUUUUUCU